GGGGAUUUAGCUCAGUGGUUCGACCGCCUGCCUCUCAAGCUCAAGGACCCGAGUUCGAUUCCCGGUACCCCCA
Molecule: transfer RNA, 73 nt
Filed under: Fukomys damarensis (Damara mole-rat)
Lineage: Eukaryota; Metazoa; Chordata; Mammalia; Rodentia; Bathyergidae
Rfam family: tRNA
About the family: Transfer RNA (tRNA) molecules are approximately 80 nucleotides in length.
Source: Rfam by way of RNAcentral